GGUGAACGCUGGCGGCGUGCCUAAGACAUGCAAGUCGAGCGGGCCGCGGGGUUUUACUCCGUGGUCAGCGGCGGAAGGGUGAGUAACGCGUGGGUGACCUACCCGGAAGAGGGGGACAACCCGGGGAAACCCGGGCUAAUCCCCCAUGUGGACCCGCCCCUUGGGGUGUGUCCAAAAGGCUUUGCCCCUUUCCGUAUGGGCUCGCGUCCCAUCAGCUAGUUGGUGGGGUAAUGGCCCACCAAGGCGUCGACGGGUAGCCGGCCGGAGCGCGUGGCCGGCCACAGGCGCCCUCGAACACGAGGCCAACUCCUACGGGGGGCAGCAGUCAGGGGUCUUCCGCAAUGGGCGAAACCCUCACGGUGCGACGCCGCUUGGAGGAAGAAGCUCUCCGGGGUGUACACUCAUGAACCCGGGACGAAACCCCCGACGAGGGGACUGACGGUACCGGGGUAUUAGCGCCGGCCAACUACGUG
RNAcentral lists this ribosomal RNA (473 nucleotides) under uncultured bacterium. RNAcentral's name for it is "partial 16S ribosomal RNA". It matches the Rfam family "Bacterial small subunit ribosomal RNA", at positions 28 to 507 of the family's 1533-position model. The record is from RNAcentral.